This 433-nucleotide ribosomal RNA is filed under the name uncultured bacterium. RNAcentral describes it as "partial 16S ribosomal RNA". It matches the Rfam family "Bacterial small subunit ribosomal RNA", at positions 29 to 507 of the family's 1533-position model. The record is from RNAcentral.
AACGAACGCUGGCGGCAGGCCUAACACAUGCAAGUCGAGCGAGGACUUCGGUCCUAGCGGCGGACGGGUGUGUAACGCGUGGGAACGUGCCCUUUGCUUCGGAAUAGCUCUGGGAAACUGGGAGUAAUACCGGAUGAGCCCUUUGGGGGAAAGAUUUAUCGGCGAAGGAUCGGCCCGCGUUGGAUUAGGUAGUUGGUGGGGUAAUGGCCUCCCAAGCGGACGAUCCAUAGCUGGUUAGAGAGGAUGAUCAGCCACACUGGGAGUGAGACACGGCCCAGAAUCCUACGGGAGGGAGCAGUGGGGAAUCGUAGACAAGGGGGGAAACCCUGAUCUAGCCAUGCCGCGUGAGCGAUGAAGGCCUUAGGGUUGUAAAGCUCUUUCAGCUGGGAAGAUAAUGACGGUACCAGCAGAAGAAGCCCCGGCUAACUCCGUG